Acanthosepion pharaonis is the source of this 100-nucleotide non-coding RNA. NCBI's taxonomy places the organism in Eukaryota, Metazoa, Mollusca, Cephalopoda, Sepiida, Sepiidae. The record is from the annotation of a GenBank genome assembly.
CUUGAAACACUGAUUCCCGUACAAUCACCGAAGUUAAUCAGCGUUGAGCCUGGUCAGUACCGAGAUGGGUGACCGACUGGGAAUACCAGGUGUUGCAAGC